CGCGCAGGCGGCCAGGUAAGUCGAAUGUGAAAGCCCCCGGCUCAACUGGGGAGGGUCAUUCGAUACUGCUUGGCUUGAAGGUAGGAGAGGGAAGCGUAAUUUCAGGUGUAGUGGUGAAAUGCGUAGAUAUCUGAAGGAACACCAGUGGCGAAGGCGGCUUUCUGGCCUAUUCUUGACGCUGAGGCGCGAAAGCUAGGGGAGCGAACG
This 207-nucleotide ribosomal RNA is filed under the name uncultured bacterium. Its description in RNAcentral is "partial 16S ribosomal RNA". It matches the Rfam family "Bacterial small subunit ribosomal RNA", at positions 568 to 774 of the family's 1533-position model. The record is from RNAcentral.